UACGCGGCCUGGGACGAUGACGACUUCACCAAGGGGAAGCACUGCGCCGUGCUGGAGGAGUCCUCGGGUUUCCUGUCCUGGGACGACGACGGGUGCAGCGAGCGCAACCCCUUCGUCUGCAAGUG
This is a long non-coding RNA of Nothoprocta perdicaria, 125 nucleotides long. RefSeq lists it as uncharacterized. The record is from RefSeq and is a predicted model, not a curated record. The transcript is spliced from 2 exons. NCBI's taxonomy places the organism in Eukaryota, Metazoa, Chordata, Aves, Tinamiformes, Tinamidae.